RNAcentral lists this ribosomal RNA (1960 nucleotides) under human gut metagenome. RNAcentral's name for it is "bacterial LSU rRNA". It matches the Rfam family "Bacterial large subunit ribosomal RNA", at positions 1 to 1977 of the family's 2925-position model. The record is from RNAcentral.
GUGAACGAUUAAGGGCGCGCGGUGGAUGCCUAGGCUCUCGGAGGCGAUGAAGGACGCGAUAAGCCGCGAUAGGCCACGGCGAGGUGCAAGUAACCCUUGACCCGUGGAUUUCCGAAUGGGGCAACCCGGCCGUCUAGAUGACGGUCAUGCAGUAAUGCAAGCGAACGCGGGGAACUGAAACAUCUCAUUACCCGCAGGAGAAGAAAACAACAGUGAUUCCCCCAGUAGUGGCGAGCGAACGGGGAAGAGCCCAAACCGCUGCCGUUUCGGCGACAGCGGGGUCAUGGGACCACGCCAUUCGAAACAAGAUGAAGUGCAAUUACCUGGAAAGGUAAGCCGCGGAGGGUGAUAGCCCCGUGCACGUCAAUUCUUGUGGAGAUAGUGGAAUCCCGAGUAGGGCGGGACACGAGAAAUCCUGCCUGAAUUCGCCAGGACCUCCUGGCAAGGCUAAAUACUCCCGAGAGACCGAUAGUGAACCAGUACCGCGAGGGAAAGGUGAAAAGUACCCCGAGCAGGGGGGUGAAAUAGACCCUGAACCCGCGCGCCUACAAGCGGUCGGAGCCACGCGAUGUGGUGACGGCGUGCCUUUUGCAUAAUGAGCCUACGAGUUAGUCGUCACCAGCGAGGUUAAGGGCUUCAGGCCCGUAAGCCGAAGUGAAAGCGAGCCUUAACAGGGCGUCAAGUUGGUGGCGCUAGACGCGAAACCUUGUGAUCUACCCACGAGCAGGUUGAAGUCGCGGUAACACGUGAUGGAGGACCGAACCGGUAAACGUUGAAAAGUUUUCGGAUGACUCGCGGGUAGGGGUGAAAGGCCAAUCAAACUGGGAAAUAGCUCGUACUCUCCGAAAUGCAUUUCGGUGCAGCCUGUGAUGUUCUGUUCCAGAGGUAGAGCUACUGGUUGGACGCGAGGGCUUCACCGCCUAUCAAAUCCGGAUAAACUCCGAAUGCUGGAACACGAAAUCAUGGAGUGAGCCCGCGGGUGCUAAGGUCCGCGGACGAGAGGGAAAGAACCCGGACCACCGGCUAAGGUCCCGGAUGGACAGUUAAGUUGAUCAAACGAGGUGGGAUCGCGGAGACAGCUAGGAUGUUGGCUUGGAAGCAGCCAUUCAUUUAAAGAGUGCGUAACAGCUCACUAGUCGAGCGAUCCCGCGUGGAUAAUACACGGGCAUCAAACUGUCAACCGAAGCCGUGGGGUCAGCGAAAAGCUGACCGGUAGGAGAGCAUUCCUGCCAGCGUUGAAGGUCACCCGCGAGAGUGACUGGAGCGGCAUGAAAAGCAAAUGUAGGCAUAAGUAACGAUAAUGGGGGCGAGAACCCCCCACGCCGCAAGACCAAGGAUUCCCCGGCAAUGUCAAUCAGCCGGGGGUCAGCCGGCCUCUAAGGCUCACCCGAAAGGGGAUGCCGACGAGAAACGGGUUAACAUUCCCGUGCUUCUCGUCACCGUGACGCGGUGACGGGGUGAUGAAUGGACCGCGCGCUGACGGAAUAGCGCGUUGAAGGCCGUACCCUUCGAGGGUGGUAGUCAAGCACGCCACCCGAGGCGAUAGCCGAUAGUACCACGAGACUCCGGUCGAGUGGAUAGCGUCCAGGCAAUUUACCCCCGAGAAAACCCGCUAAACUUCAAGUGACGAGGAACCGUACUGUAAACGGACACACGUGGUCGGGUAGAACAUACCAAGGCGCUCGAGUGAUUCAUGGUCAAGGAACUAGGCAAAAUAGUCCUGUAACUUCGGGAAAAAGGACGCUCUAGUGAUAGAGCCGCAGAGUAAUGGCCCAGGCGACUGUUUACCAAAAACACAUGGCUAUGCCAAAUCGAAAGAUGACGUAUAUGGCCUGACACCUGCCCGGUGCCGGAAGGUUAAGAGGAGAGCUCAUCGGAAACGAGAAGGUUUGAAUUGAAGCCCCGGUAAACGGCGGCCGUAACUAUAACGGUCCUAAGGUAGCGAAAUUCCUUGUCGGGU